UAGUAAUGUUGCAAGGACAGUUGAUAUCC
This 29-nucleotide non-coding RNA is filed under the name Rattus norvegicus (Norway rat). The record is from RNAcentral. Lineage: Eukaryota; Metazoa; Chordata; Mammalia; Rodentia; Muridae.